AAGGAAUAUUGGUCAAUGGACGCAAGUCUGAACCAGCCAUGCCGCGUGAAGGAUGAAGGUCCUCUGGAUUGUAAACUUCUUUUAUCUGGGACGAAAACGGGAUUUUUAUCUCAAUUGACGGUACCAGAGGAAUAAGCACCGGCUAACUCCGUGCCAGCAGCCGCGGUAAUACGGAGGGUGCGAGCGUUAUCCGGAUUUACUGGGUUUAAAGGGUGCGUAGGUGGGCUUAUAAGUCAGUGGUGAAAUCUCCGAGCUUAACUUGGAAACUGCCGUUGAUACUAUAGAUCUUGAAUUAUCUGGAGGUAAGCGGAAUAUGUCAUGUAGCGGUGAAAUGCUUAGAUAUGACAUAGAACACCAAUUGCGAAGGCAGCUUACUACAUAUAAAUUGACGCUGAGGCACGAAAGCGUGGGUAUCAAACA
This 420-nucleotide ribosomal RNA is filed under the name uncultured bacterium. Its description in RNAcentral is "bacterial SSU rRNA". It matches the Rfam family "Bacterial small subunit ribosomal RNA", at positions 356 to 774 of the family's 1533-position model. The record is from RNAcentral.